GGUUGUGGCUCAGUGGUAGAGCACUUGCUUGGUAUGGUGAGGCCCUGGGUUCAAUCCUCAGCACCA
This 66-nucleotide transfer RNA is filed under the name Marmota monax (woodchuck). RNAcentral describes it as "tRNA.Thr". The record is from RNAcentral. Lineage: Eukaryota; Metazoa; Chordata; Mammalia; Rodentia; Sciuridae.